CCUUUCCCCGCCCCCCCCCCUCCCGCCAUGGAGGUUUUUCCUCUCUCGGGCGGAGCCGCAGCCGCAGGAUGUGGCGCCGUGGGGCCCUGCUGGGGCUGCUGUGGGUCUCGGGGGUUCGCUCGUGGCCCGGCGGCUCCAACGCUUCGUGCCGGGGGUCGGCGCGGUGCCAGCCGGGCGUCCUCUUGCCCGUGUGGCACCCGGAGAACCCCUCGGCGGGCGACACUGCCGCCCGCGCCGUCGUCUAUUUGGUGGCCAUGGUCUACACCUUCCUGGGCGUCUCCAUCAUCGCCGACCGCUUCAUGGCCUCCAUCGAGGUCAUCACCUCCAAGGAGAAGGAGAUCACCGUCACCAAAGCCAACGGCGAGACGAGCGUCGGCACCGUCCGCAUCUGGAACGAAACCGUCUCCAAUCUGACGCUGAUGGCGUUGGGCUCUUCGGCGCCGGAGAUCCUCCUCUCGGUCAUCGAGGUUUGCGGUCACAACUUCCAGGCGGGGGAGUUGGGCCCCGGCACCAUCGUGGGCAGCGCCGCCUUCAAUAUGUUCGUGGUCAUCGCCGUCUGCGUCUACGUCGUCCCCGGCGGCGAAAGCCGUCGCAUCAAACACCUGAGGGUCUUCUUCGUGACGGCGUCGUGGAGUAUCUUCGCCUACGUUUGGCUUUACCUCAUCCUGGCGGUCAUCUCGCCGGGGGUGGUGCGCGUCUGGGAGGCGCUGCUCACCCUCCUCUUCUUCCCGCUCUGCGUGGCCUUCGCGUGGGCCGCCGACAAACGCCUCCUCUUCUAUAAGGACGUCUACAGGCGGUACCGCCCGGAGCCGUGCCGCGGCGCCGCCGUCAUCGUCGGCAUCGAAGGGGAACUCCCCAAAGGCAUCGAGGUGGACGGCGGCUGCCGCGACGCCGACGCUGGAGGCGGAGGAGCCAUGGUUGGAAGCGUUGGCGUUGGCGGUGGUCUCUCCUCGUCGCCGGCGGCGCAGAGCCAAGAGGAGAAGGAGUUGGAUGAGAGCCGCCGGGAGGUCAUUCAGAUCCUGAAGGACCUCAAGCAGAAGCACCCGGAGAAGGAGUUGGAGCAGUUGGUGGAGACGGCCAACUACUACGCUCUCCUCCACCAACAGAAGAGCCGAGCGUUCUACCGCAUCCAGGCCACGCGGAUGAUGACCGGAGCCGGCAACGUCCUGAAGAAACACGUGGCCGAGGUGUCCAAGAGGUCCUCCACCCUCCUGGAGGUGGGGUCGGAGGCCGAGGAGGCCCUUUGCAGCCGCAUCUGCUUCGAGCCGUGCCUCUACCACUGCCUGGAGAACUGCGGGGCGGUGGCGCUGUGGGUGCGGUGCCACCACGCGCCCGACGCCAACAACACCUUCUACGUGGACUACCGGACGGAGGACGGCUCGGCCAAGGCGGGCUCCGACUACGAGUACAGCGAAGGGACCCUCAUCUUCAAACCCGGGGAGACCCGGAAGGAGCUGAAGAUCGGAAUCAUCGACGAUGACAUCUUCGAAGAGGACGAACACUUCUUCGUGCGUCUCCUGAACCUCCGCGUGGGCGACGCCGAGGGGAUGUUCGAGGCCGAGUCCGAGGAGAACCCCAAAGGGAAGUUGGUGGCUCCGUUGGUGGCGACGGUGACCAUCUUGGAUGACGACCACGCCGGGAUCUUCGCCUUCCAGGAGCGGGUGGUGCACGUCAGCGAGAGCCAAGGGACGCUGGAGGUGAAGGUCCUGCGCAGCUCCGGAGCGCGAGGAACCGUCCUUCUGCCCUAUCGCACCGUGGACGGAACCGCCCGCGGAGGAGGGGUUCACUACCAGGACUGCGCCGGGGAGCUCGAGUUCCGCAACGACGAGACCGCGAAGACGCUGCAGGUGAAGAUCGUGGACGGCGAAGAGUACGAGAAGAAGGACAACUUCUUCAUCGAGUUGGGGCAGCCGCGCUGGCUCAAACGGGGCAUCUCGGCUCUCCUGCUCGCCCAAGCCGAGGGGGAGCGGAAGCUCUCGGCCGAGGAGGAGGAGGCGCAGCGCAUCGCUGAGAUGGGGAAACCCAUCCUGGGGGACAACUGCCGCCUCGAGGUCAUCAUCGAGGAGUCCUACGACUUCAAGAACACCGUGGACAAACUGAUCAAGAAGACCAACCUGGCCACGGUCAUCGGGACGCACUCCUGGAGGGAGCAGUUCCUGGAGGCCAUCACCGUCAGCGCAGGGGAGGAGGAGGAGGAGGAGGACGGCCGGGAGGAGCGUCUGCCCUCGUGUUUCGAUUACGUGAUGCACUUCCUGACGGUGUUCUGGAAGGUUCUGUUCGCCUGCGUUCCGCCCACCGAGUACUGCAACGGGUGGGCGUGCUUCGGCGUCUCCAUCCUCCUCAUCGGCGUCCUGACGGCGCUCAUCGGCGACCUCGCCGCACACUUCGGCUGCACCGUCGGCCUCAAGGACUCCGUCAACGCCGUCGUCUUCGUGGCCCUCGGAACGUCCAUUCCUGACACCUUUGCCAGCAAGGUGGCCGCCCUCCAGGACCACUGCGCCGACGCCUCCAUCGGCAACGUGACGGGUUCCAACGCCGUCAACGUCUUCCUGGGCUUGGGGGUGGCCUGGUCGGUGGCCGCCAUCUACUGGGCCGCCCAAGGGAGGGACUUUGAGGUCCAGACGGGGACUUUGGCGUUUUCCGUCACCCUCUUCACCAUCUUCGCCUUCGUGUGUAUCAGUGUCCUCCUCUACCGCCGCCGCCCCCACAUCGGCGGCGAACUGGGAGGGCCGCGGGGGCCCAAGGUCCUCACCAGCGCCCUCUUCCUGGGCCUUUGGCUCCUCUACGUCCUCUUCGCCGGCCUCGAGGCCUAUUGCCACAUCAGAGGCUUCUGAGGAGCACCGCGAGGAACCGAAGGCGACGUUGUGGGGAGAAGGGCAACUCACGGGGUUCUUCGGGGCUGUUCGGGGUCACCUCGAGGUUCUUCUGCCACUCCAGAGCCUCCUCGAGGUCCUCCUGACAGCUCCACGUCCUCUGGAGCUCCUCCUGUCCCUCAGCUUCCAGAAGGUCCCUCAGAUCCUCCUCGAGGUCCUCCUGUCCCCCAACUUCCAGAAGGUCCCUCAGAUCCUCCUCUGGAGCUCCUCCUGUCCCUCCAUUCCCAGAAGGUCCCUCAGAUCCUCCUCUGGAGCUCCUCCUGUCCCUCCACUCCCAGAAGGUCCCUCAGAUCCUCCUCUGGAGCUCCUCCUGUCCCUCCACUCCCAGAAGGUCCCUCAGAUCCUCCUCUGGAGCUCCUCCUGUCCCUCCAUUCCCAGAAGGUCCCUCAGAUCCUCCUCUGGAGCUUCUCCUGUCCCUCCACCCCCAGAAGGUCCCUCAGAUCCUCCUCUGGAGCUCCUCCUGUCCCUCCAUUCCCAGAAGGUCCCUCAGAUCCUCCUCUGGAGCUCCUCCUGUCCCUCCAUUCCCAGAAGGUCCCUCAGAUCCCCCUCUGGAGCUCCUCCUGUCCCUCCAUUCCCAGAAGGUCCCUCAGAUCCCCCUCUGGAGCUCCUCCUGUCCCUCCAUUCCCAGAAGGUCCCUCAGAUCCCCCUCUGGAGCUUCUCCUGUCCCUCCACCCCCAGAAGGUCCCUCAGAUCCCCCUCUGGAGCUCCUCCUGUCCCUCCACUCCCAGAAGGUCCCUCAGAUCCCCCUCUGGAGCUCCUCCUGUCCCUCCAUUCCCAGAAGGUCCCUCAGAUCCCCCUCUGGAGCUCCUCCUGUCCCUCCACCCCCAGAAGGUCCCUCAGAUCCCCCUCUGGAGCUCCUCCCGUCCCUCCAUUCCCAGAAGGUCCCUCAGAUCCUCCUCUGGAGCUCCUCCUGUCCCUCCACUCCCAGAAGGUCCCUCAGAUCCUCCUCUGGAGCUCCUCCUGUCCCUCCACCCCCAGAAGGUCCCUCAGAUCCUCCUCGUGACCCCCAUCUCUCCUCUCCCCCCAUUUUGGGGUCCUCUUCUCCCCCUUUUUUCCGCCCCCCAAGUGGCUUUUUUUAAGGGGGGACCCGUUUUUCACCCCCGGUUUGAUAGCGG
Cuculus canorus (common cuckoo) is the source of this 3988-nucleotide RNA transcript. It is a transcript of the gene named solute carrier family 8 member A2, with no coding region annotated. Lineage: Eukaryota; Metazoa; Chordata; Aves; Cuculiformes; Cuculidae. The transcript is spliced from 10 exons. The record is from RefSeq and is a predicted model, not a curated record.